UGACAGACUGUUCAGUCUUUAAUAAUGUGAGAAUAAACAGAAUAAAUUAAAAGCACACCAUAUUCUCAGCUUCCUCAUGGGCUUUCUCCAAACAGCUUGAACAAUUGCAAAAUAAUAUUCAGGAACCAUGAUAGUGUUUGGUACAUAGAGGACACUGGAAAUAGUUUUCUUAACUGAAAAAGUGACAAGAAUAACAGAAUUAAUGAAUGACAUCAGAGCUGAAAUCCCAAACCGUAAAUCAUAAAAGGAUCAGAUACCAAAGGGCCCUGACUAAUAUAAGAUGAUUUUUUAAAACUGGAAUCUCAGUGGAUUCGUCUCAACACGGCCAGAUGAAUGAUUCGUCCGGGGACCAAUGAACUUGGUAGAAUUUCAGAUAGUAUUCGGUUGUCCAGAAAAAAAAAAAAAAAAGCAUAAAAAGUAAUAGGCCAUAACUGAGAUGGGUGGGGCUUAUUCUAGAUAAGAUAGUCAAGGACUGACAUAUGGGA
RNAcentral lists this long non-coding RNA (485 nucleotides) under Pongo abelii (Sumatran orangutan). Its description in RNAcentral is "lincRNA". Lineage: Eukaryota; Metazoa; Chordata; Mammalia; Primates; Hominidae. The record is from RNAcentral.